RNAcentral lists this ribosomal RNA (428 nucleotides) under uncultured bacterium. RNAcentral describes it as "bacterial SSU rRNA". It matches the Rfam family "Bacterial small subunit ribosomal RNA", at positions 355 to 775 of the family's 1533-position model. The record is from RNAcentral.
UGGGGAAUUUUGGACAAUGGGGGCAACCCUGAUCCAGCCAUGCCGCGUGCGGGAAGAAGGCCUUCGGGUUGUAAACCGCUUUUGGUCGGAAAGAAAAGCCAUCCGCUAAUACCGGAUGGUCUUGACGGUACCGGCAGAAUAAGCACCGGCUAACUACGUGCCAGCAGCCGCGGUAAUACGUAGGGUGCGAGCGUUAAUCGGAAUUACUGGGCGUAAAGCGUGCGCAGGCGGUUUGUUAAGUCUGCUGUGAAAGCCCCGGGCUCAACCUGGGAACGGCAGUGGAAACUAGCAAGCUAGAGUGUGUCAGAGGGGGGUGGAAUUCCACGUGUAGCAGUGAAAUGCGUAGAGAUGUGGAGGAACACCAAUGGCGAAGGCAGCCCCCUGGGAUAACACUGACGCUCAGGCACGAAAGCGUGGGGAGCAAACAG